Molecule: long non-coding RNA, 1506 nt
Organism: Pezoporus flaviventris
Lineage: Eukaryota; Metazoa; Chordata; Aves; Psittaciformes; Psittacidae
Exons: 3
Source: RefSeq, a predicted model, not a curated record
CUCCAUCCCAUAAAAAGUCCUCACUGCAGUCAGAGACCAGUAGAAAUCAGAGUAUCAUAAACCUGGCAACUCUAAGACUGAAGUUCAGUGAGUGAACAGCCUUAUUCAUCAGACAGAUAAAAACUCUUUCCUUGACUACCUAAAAAGCAUGUGGAAACAUCCAUCGCACACCUUUCCUGAAUGAUUAGGCUCCUCUUCAGCUUUCCAUCAAUUCCUUUUCAUUCCAUUCAUUCUCUGUUUGCCUCCCAGAUUUUUAUUGACACUGAUCACUUCAGGCACUGGGGUGAGGAAGCAGCUGCUGAGGCUAACAGCAUCAGAGCUCAACUUAAGGAGACCUGAGCACCAGCGGAAUACAAGGGCUGACACAGAUGAGAGUCUUGUUCUAGGCACUGUAAAACAUUUUGUGAGAAACCAGUCCUACCUCUCUGAAGAAUUUACAGUGUGACUGCAUAAGGAUCAAGAACAAGGUUGGUAUCAUCACAUGUUAUCAUCUCUAUUUUAGAGAGGCAGAGUAUCUUUUGCCUGAAGCCACACCAAAUGGAUAUGGCAAAAGUGGGAAGAGAACCAAGAAUCCUGUACUUGGAGAGACUCUUUCUCUUGAGCACAUCAAUAACCUGAGUAAGUUGAUUCUUCUUUUUCAGUGAACUUUACUGAACUAAAAUAUAUUGAAAUGUGGAUGGAGAAAAUUUUUGCUGAUAACAUAAAUGUGUUUAAAACAUUUUUGAAGUACACAUACACGAAAGCAUGGUAAGUUCCUCCUUUAGCUAAUUGCUGGUGGCCUCAAUUUUUUUCCUGCAUUCUAUUUUGAUGGUCUAGUGAUUGCUGCAGUCAUUGUGAAUAUGCCUGUUGUCAUGCUUAAUACUUAUUUCCUAGCUCUUAGUUUCUGCUAUGGUCUGAAAGUAAUUUUAGCAGUCCCACUUUUCAUCUUGUGUGUAGGCUGCUUUUACAGUUUUACUAUAGAUCUAUAAUUUUCUCUGUAGCAGACUCUUGAGAUGAAGAAUGGAUUUAUGUUUAACACACCAGAGUUGGAGGGAUGUUAAUCUUGUUGCAGUUGCAAACUUUCUUGUGUGACCUUGAAUUCUCCCAUUCUCUCCUGUGCUGACCUCUGUACUUUUAAACUUACAUUUGUAGUUCACUUGAGAUCAUCUGCUAUGCAAACAGCAAGCAUUAUUCUACAGUUUGGAUCCUUAUUCAAGGCAUUCAAUAAAAUAAGCAUGUGUAAGACAUACGUACAGAAGGGACCCAUGUUAAUCAGUAAGUCUGUGCUGUAGGUAAGUAGAACAUCGUCUAGUGACUCUUGUACCUGUCUGGACAUACAUUUCCACUGUCCUGCUCUUUUUGCAUGCAUAUUUUGCGAACAAUUUAGGUGACUCUUUUAAGAAGAUUUAUUUCUACAAGACUGACAAAGAUUUCUGAGAAAACAUGCAGGCGUGAGUCACCCACGUUCCACUGUUUUUCACGCAGCAAUAGGUUCUUAUAGUAAGCUUAGUUAUAAGAAAUAGCAGU